Molecule: long non-coding RNA, 600 nt
Filed under: Pogona vitticeps (central bearded dragon)
Lineage: Eukaryota; Metazoa; Chordata; Lepidosauria; Squamata; Agamidae
Description: lncRNA (ENSPVIG00000015550.1)
Source: RNAcentral
GAAUAUGAUUGACAGGAGUGACGUGGGGCAAUAGUCACAGUAACUUUCCAGAUUCCUGUCCUUUGCCAUCUCACCAACAACUCAUCAUAAUGCAGUGCUUCCUGCUCCUGCUACGUUCACUCCAUUUCAUCCAAUUUUUAAAACUCACAAAUCACUGGUGAAAACAAGGAAACAGAACCUUCACUCUGAUUUGGCUUUACAUAUUUACCACAUGACUUCCCUUUCAGAUCCUGCAAAGUGUGUCCUUUCAGAGUAGUGAAAGCCUACAAGUCUCCAACAAGAUUUCUACCAGUAUGGAAGCACAUUAGUCAUAUACUGCAGUAUAUGUUGUUGCUGUUCAGCAGCACUGAAAUAACACGCUAUCACCAGAACCAUAGCUAUUUUGAGUUUCAUCUUCCCAAGCUGCACUAGAAGAGACAGGAAAGUGGUUGGAAACCGAGGAUCAGAAGAACAAAGAAUAUAGCCUUGAGAAUGAGAAAAUUAACAUCAAUCUGUUGUUUGUAAUAGUCAACCAUAUGCUAUUUGGGUGACAUAAUAUAAGAAGCAGACCAAAUAUAUAUAUUAAAUAAAACAUAGCAAAUCAUCUUUUAGAUUAUUUUU